This 366-nucleotide ribosomal RNA is filed under the name Triticum aestivum (bread wheat). RNAcentral describes it as "partial small subunit ribosomal RNA". The record is from RNAcentral. Lineage: Eukaryota; Viridiplantae; Streptophyta; Magnoliopsida; Poales; Poaceae.
AUGUGGCUGCCUGUAGUUCUUGUGUUUAAUGCAAACACUCCCCUUUCCUUCCCUGCAGCAGUGGACACGAGCAGGCAAGGUGCUUCUCCUAUCACGUCUCCUGGCAGAACUGGAAAUCUAGUCAGCGUGCAGGUUCUUGUGCAGAUGAGGGCACCAGCAACGGACCAGCGGCGACUGAGCCUUCUCUCAUCCAGAUCCCCGCGGACGUGUGUCCUCAAUGCCAUGAGUUGGCCCUGCUCAACCUCUGUCUCCAGGACGAAGAUGAUGUCCACGGUGCUGCCCAGCGGGAAGGGCAACAAAAAAGUUGCAAAAAAUGCUAGUGCAGCUGAUUGCCUCCUCUGUGUUGCGAUGUACUAUGUUGUGUAG